UGUGAAAGCAGUGGCAACCAGAAGGAGAAGUGUGACCAGAUACUUGGCAUGUUUGAGAGCAACAAAUGCCUUGAAAAUGCUAUUUGGUCUCAAAUGCACCAGAAGCUGACAGGUCUGGAAAGACAGAAAGACUUAUAUUAUUCAUCUUCCCUAAAUUUCCAAGGAGACAGUGCCAGCACAUCUCUUGCUUCAGAAAUGUCCCAGGUGGCUGAAGUGAAGACACAGCAAGACACCUCUGAACACAGCAGUUUGCCUAUGGCCUCCUCUGUAUAUUCUGGAGCUGCUAUUUCUUGGCCAUCUCUGUCUCUAUUCCUUCCCCUGUUGCUGAGCCCACUUUAACUUGGCAUAAGUGACAUCUUUCCUUCCCAUAUUAUUAAUCUUAUCCCAUAUCCAGGCACCUCCCACUACUGAUUUACCCUCAAGAAACAAAAAGCCUCUAUAAAAGAGGAAGGGAACAGCCUUAGAUAACUGCAGUCACCGAAAACCUCUCCCUGACUUGUGCCCCUCUUUCCUCCAGUCAGUCUGCUCUGAGAUGCAGAUUUGGUACCCACCAUUGCUUCUGCCACAUUUAGCAUUUUGAGUGACAGUCAGGCUCAUAUUCAACCACAGUAUUUUAAAACAAGUCUGCAUUCUGUCAGAACUUGUGUGGGGUUCUGUUUCUAACUAGAGGGAUGCACAUGACACUGUUUCCUACCACCCUACCUGUCUGAGCUCUUCCAUAGGCAUAGAGUACAUACAACAUACCAUCCUUAAGUGUCAGGUCCUGCACUUUGGCCACAACAACCCCAGGAAACACUACAGGCUUGGGGCUGGAAGACUGCCUGGAAGAAAUGGAUCUGGGGGUGUUGAUGGAUGCUUGGCUAAACAUGAGCCAGCAGUAUGCCCAGGCAGCCAAGAAGACCAAUGGUGUCCUGGCUAGUGUAAGAAAUAGCAUUGCCAGCAGGGGCAGAGAAGUGAUAUGCCCUGUAUUCAGCUCUGGUGAAGCUGCACCUUAGGUACCGUGUUCAGUUUUUGGCCAUUCACUACAGGAAAGACAUUGAGGCCUUGGAGUGUGUCCAGAGG
RNAcentral lists this long non-coding RNA (1062 nucleotides) under Chrysolophus pictus (golden pheasant). RNAcentral's name for it is "lncRNA (ENSCPIG00010004738.1)". The record is from RNAcentral. Lineage: Eukaryota; Metazoa; Chordata; Aves; Galliformes; Phasianidae.